GCUGGUGGGUAUGAGACUCAGCUAGUAGGAGGGUGACAAGAGACUCAGUCUAGAUCAGAAACAAGUACCAACAUACCAGGAAGGCUGUGUAAAAGGAAAUGCUCCCCAAUUAAAAAAACUAUGACAGGACUCAACCCUUUCCCUGGCCCCCCAAAUUUGAAGAUCUGAUCCAGAUUCCCUGAAGUACAACCUCAAAAUGAAGACUUGGCACUAAGAAAAAAGCCUCAGUACAAAGCCUAGUGAUCAUUGCUUUGUUUUUAGAGGAAAAAACAGGGGAGAAGGAGGUGGACCUUAGCUUGUUAUGGAAGUAAAGGAGCUUAAAGUAGUGAGGUAAAUAAAAAUAAAAAGUCUGCUCUCCUUCCCAAUCCUAUCCAAGGAAAAGGUUUCAACUAGUCUUUCUACUGGAGGGCCAACCUAGGACUUAACGGAGUAUUAAAGAAAAGACCUUCCUUUCUUCUCUCCUCCCAAGGAAAGUGCUUCCAAUAAGGCUACUCACAGAGGGAGAGGUAACUUAGUGUGAAACCUCCACCCCCUUUCUCUUCCAUCAUUGCAUUUACCAGUGGGAACAAGAGCCAGGUAAAAGAAAUGAGGUGACUUGUCUAAGUUCAUAAAGGGAGUCCAUAGCAGUGAUGGGAUUCAAACCCUGGUCCUGGUCCAGAAUGAAGUACUUUUCUUACUGUGCCAGUUGCCAGAGUUUCAUUUGGGAGGAAAAAAAAAAGUUUCUUCAUUGGGAGAAGCAAUUGAAUACAAAGACAGACUGA
RNAcentral lists this long non-coding RNA (761 nucleotides) under Monodelphis domestica (gray short-tailed opossum). Its description in RNAcentral is "lncRNA (ENSMODG00000030090.2)". Lineage: Eukaryota; Metazoa; Chordata; Mammalia; Didelphimorphia; Didelphidae. The record is from RNAcentral.